UCUAAUAUAAAAAUUUAUUAAGAUUUUUAAAUAAUAGAAUCAAAUAAAAUAAAACCUAUAUAAUUGAAGAAUCUAUUAAAUACGAUUGUACAAGAUUAGAUUUGUGAUUUCUAAUUUGAUUCUAUUUGCAAGGAUUUUACCACCCAUUUAAUACUACUAUCAUUCCUUAAAACUAGCCAAAGAAAGAAAAUUGAAAGGACUUAUUGGUGUCUAUUUUCCAUAGCUUUUAUGUAGCACAAUGUAGAAAAACAAAAAUAAUAAAAUAACAAACAUUUUGGACACAAAAAAUCGUUCUAUCUCAAAAAAAUUGGAUUGAUUUUCCAAAAUACAAACCCAACCAAUUAAAACUUUUUGAUAAUAACCAAUCAAAAAAAUUACAAGUUGUAGUCGCUUGCAUUUUCUUUUACACACCUUGUCUUUGAGACACAAAGAUCUCCUUGCCACCAAAACAAACACACUGUACAAGCACACAAGCUACAAACAAGUAGAAUAGAGGGUUUGGAAUGACCUUGGACCACCCAAGAAUUGGCAGAACCCGAAGAAUGCAAAAUAGUGCUCGACAAGGUGGGCGUUCAGCUCAGAUCCCAAAACCAGCUGUGAAAUCUAAACAGACGUGCCUAAUAAAACCCUGAGCACACUGGAAUUACCCAUUACUCACUGUUUGUGUGCUCUCCAGUCAACAACAAACAAACAACAAGUGGAUCUGAGAGACAGUUUGGGGCCAUGACAGACCAGGGAAUAGGAGGGAGGGAGGCUCAAAUGAUCACCUUACACACGAAGAAGC
Molecule: long non-coding RNA, 784 nt
Filed under: Physcomitrium patens
Lineage: Eukaryota; Viridiplantae; Streptophyta; Bryopsida; Funariales; Funariaceae
Description: long non-coding RNA (PPAT_LNC000155)
Source: RNAcentral